CGCCCCCCCAGCGGCGCAGGCAGGAGUUUUGGGGCUAGGACUCUUUUCCACCUAGGUUGUGACCUAGUUUUGUGUGUCUGAGGCCUCAGCUGGGAGACUUGAAGAUGGGGUCUGUGAUCAUCUGAAGGCCCAUCCACUCACAGGUUGAGUGGUCGAUGCUGAUGGAUGCUGAGGAACAGCAUGUGAUAUUUUCAUGUGGACUAGUUUGCACUUCCUAAGAGCAUGGUGGAUGGAUUUCAAAGGUAGACUCUUUAUACACCCCAGAACCCUGGGCUUCAGGAGAGCAGUUUGAA
This is a long non-coding RNA of Hippopotamus amphibius kiboko, 293 nucleotides long. RefSeq lists it as uncharacterized. The transcript is spliced from 3 exons. NCBI's taxonomy places the organism in Eukaryota, Metazoa, Chordata, Mammalia, Artiodactyla, Hippopotamidae. The record is from RefSeq and is a predicted model, not a curated record.